This 1423-nucleotide ribosomal RNA is filed under the name Triticum aestivum (bread wheat). RNAcentral describes it as "partial small subunit ribosomal RNA". Lineage: Eukaryota; Viridiplantae; Streptophyta; Magnoliopsida; Poales; Poaceae. The record is from RNAcentral.
UAAUGAAGAUGUAUCGUGUCCAAAGAGACGGAGCGGUCUGGUAAGUAGGGGAACGCCGCCGUCGACCCGCACACUCCCUAGCGGUACCCUAUCCGAACUCAAGAAGCUCCUUCGGCUUAGUCCGAACUAAGGAUACCAGCUACGGUCCCUAGAGAACCCCCCUCUACACCGACAACACGUUAGGCAGCAACGAAGUUAGGUAUUUCGUAGGGUGUUGACACACACGUUUUACCCGAUUUUUGAUGUCCUAAUCCUAACCGUUUCACAAUCUACUCUGCCUUUCGUUAGGUUCAGCUCAAGGACGCGAGCUCCGAAGCUACGCACGAAUACGUCUGUUCUUUCAACCACACGAUUUUCGGCCAACUUGCAAGUAGUCUUUUUUACGUAGGUCCUUUAACACACGUACACACGCCCAUUUGGUAACGUUAGUUUAUCGGCAAGGUGUGAAACACCGAAGUGACGGUACUACUCCCAGGAAUCUAUUCUACCAUUCCCUAAUUCCCGACCAUGCAAACGUUUGUGUCCCGUCUCGUGUUGGUCUGAAAGACAGUUGAUAUACCUCUUUAAUGUGACCUUCAGAGUAGCCGUGUAUCUAUCUAUGUGUUCCCUGGAACACUUUGUCGGCUCCCUUUUUACAUUCGUAUUUGUUCCAAAUGUCACAGCAACCGUCAAAAAAACCAAGUCAUUUUCUCCGCGGUAAGUGGUUUUCCAGAGACUUCUUCGAAUUGGUUCUCGUUAGUCCUUUACUACGUUGUUUCUGGUAUCUCCACAAGUUGCGCUACUCCCCACUUCUAGGACUAAAGUGUAUGUCACAUGUCCAAUUGCUCCACCCAGCUCACUUUUUAGACUACACCUGUUACCCUUUUUAGGUUGUGUUUUCACCUCCGGUUUUAGGUCGUGUCUCACGGAGCGUUACAAGACUAACAAAACGUCGUGGCUGUUUCUUUUCCGUCGACCUACGGGAUCGUGUUCAGCGCCGUUUCGUGGUAUACUCGUUGGUUUUUUCUCCAGAUCCAAGACAAGAUAGACGUCUCCAAUUCCAGUGUUCUCGUGGUGAAAAGGCGUUGCUCCUCUAGAAGGUUUCCGCGGCUCCUUCAGCGGAGCUACGAGGUCUACGUCGACCACUCCAGUGCCCUUCUUGUGAACGUGGUUGGGCGGGUUUCGUCUGAAACCUCUGACUAAAAUCUUACCGAGCAUAAACUUUUAAGUCUAACGAUUGACUUGUUUAGGCGACACAUAGCUCAAACGUGAUAUUACGAAGAAACCCACACUAAACUAAAGGAACAACACAGCAUCAACAGCUCAGGAACUAAUUUAGGACAUUAUGUGACUUUAACACCACAACGAUACUCGUCCACUGCAAAUCAAACUGGAAAAGUCAAACCUUUAGACGGUCUGGAACAAAGACUUAUUAUAACAGCAG